RNAcentral lists this ribosomal RNA (498 nucleotides) under Megasyllis corruscans. RNAcentral describes it as "partial 16S ribosomal RNA". It matches the Rfam family "Bacterial large subunit ribosomal RNA", at positions 1825 to 2605 of the family's 2925-position model. Lineage: Eukaryota; Metazoa; Annelida; Polychaeta; Phyllodocida; Syllidae. The record is from RNAcentral.
ACAUUGCCUUUAGUCCUAAUAUUAAAGGUUAAUCUGCCCAGUGAAAUAGUAAUAACUUCAAAAUUUAAACGGCCGCGGUAUCCCUGACCGUGCUAAGGUAGCACAAUAAUGAGCCUCCUAAUUAGAGGAUAGAAUGAAUGAAUCAACAAGAAACAAACUGUCUCUUUUAUAUAAAUUGAAAUUUAAAAUUAGGUGAAAAUGCCUAAAUUCCUAACAAAGACAGAAAGACCCUACAAGCUUGUACAAUAAUAUAAUAUAAAUAAAAAUGUAUUUAACUGGGGCGGUUCAAAGCAUAAAACGCUUUAUCUUAUAAGAGAUAUAACUCCACCAAAUUAUCCAAAAACACACAAGUAAGCUACUGUAGGGAUAACAGACUAAUACUUCUUUAGAGCACAUAUCGACAGAAGUGCUUAGUACCUCGAUGUUGGCUUAAGGAUCCCACUUUAUGUAGCAGUAAAAUAGGGGGGGUUUGUUCAACCUUUAAUUCCUUACAUGAUC